CGGCAACAGCUCAAAUUUGAAAUCUGGCUCUUUCAGGGUCCGAGUUGUAAUUUGUAGAAGAUGCUUUGGGUGUGGCUCUGGUCUAAGUUCCCUGGAACAGGACGUCAUAGAGGGUGAGAAUCCCGUAUGUGACCAGUGGCUUUCGCCCGUGUAAAGCUCUUUCGAC
RNAcentral lists this ribosomal RNA (166 nucleotides) under Crucellisporiopsis marquesiae. RNAcentral describes it as "partial large subunit ribosomal RNA". It matches the Rfam family "Eukaryotic large subunit ribosomal RNA", at positions 99 to 261 of the family's 3401-position model. Lineage: Eukaryota; Fungi; Ascomycota; Leotiomycetes; Helotiales; Lachnaceae. The record is from RNAcentral.